This 372-nucleotide ribosomal RNA is filed under the name uncultured organism. Its description in RNAcentral is "bacterial SSU rRNA". It matches the Rfam family "Bacterial small subunit ribosomal RNA", at positions 526 to 896 of the family's 1533-position model. The record is from RNAcentral.
CGUAGGCAGCGGGCGUUGUUCGGAGUUACUGGGCGUAAAGAGUGCGUAGGCGGUUUUCUAAGUUUGGUGUGAAAUCUCCCGGCUUAACUGGGAGGGUGCGCCGAAGACUGGAAGGCUAGAGUAUGGGAGAGGUAAGCGGAAUUCCUGGUGUAGCGGUGAAAUGCGUAGAUAUCAGGGAGGAACACCUGCGGUGUAGACGGCUUACUGGACCAUAACUGACGCUGAGGCACGAAAGCGUGGGUAGACAAACAGGAUUAGAUACCCUGGUAGUCCACGCCCUAAACGAUGCAUACUUGGUGUGGGUAGUUCAUUCUAUCCGUGCCGGAGCUAACGCGUUAAGUAUGCCGCCUGGGGAGUACGGUCGCAAGGCUG